UGAUAAUGGAUAAUCAAACAAUGAAGACUGCCGUAUACAAAAACCCCACACGUCAACCAGUGCUAAUACCUAGCUGGUCGCCAGACUCAACAUCAUACAAGAAGGCUGCUUUCAGAUCAUUAUUUAGAAGAACACUCCUAUACUGCACAGAGCACCAAGAACAGAAAAAAGAACUAGAGUUUAUAUAGCAAACAAGGUACCGAUAUGGAUACAAAAAAUGGUUUUUGGAACAUAUAUACAUGGAAGUUGAAAAGGCACUGCAAAAGAAAGCAACAAGAUAAUACUAGUCAAAACAUAGACCCUCCACCAAAACAAGACUAUAUAACAGUACCUUUAUACACUAAGCAACAUGAAAUUCACAAAAAAUCUAGCAAGAUGCACGAGAAGAAGAAUAGCAUACAGAAGAAUGCCAAAUAAUAGCCUAAGGAAUGAGAAGGAUAAACUGAAUAGCAACUGAAUAGAUCACAGCACUUCUUGCAGUAUGGGAAAAAUUCGCUUUUAUUAACAAUCGACCAG
Molecule: long non-coding RNA, 516 nt
Filed under: Androctonus crassicauda
Lineage: Eukaryota; Metazoa; Arthropoda; Arachnida; Scorpiones; Buthidae
Source: RNAcentral